UAGUCCACGCCGUAAACGAUGAGAACUAGAUGUUGGAGGGGUUACCCUUCAGUGUCGCAGCUAACGCGUUAAGUUCUCCGCCUGGGGAGUACGUCGGCAACGAUAAAACUCAAAGGAAUUGACGGGACCCGCACAAGCGGUGGAGCAUGUGGUUUAAUUCGAUGCAACGCGAAGAACCUUACCUGCCCUUGACAUACUCGGAACUUGCCAGAGAUGGCUUGGUGCCUUCGGGAACCGAGAUACAGGUGCUGCAUGGCUGUCGUCGGCUCGUGUCGUGAGAUGUUGGGUUAAGUCCCGCAACGAGCGCAACCCUUGUCCCUAGUUACCAGCACUUCGGGUGGGAACUCUAGGGAGACCGCCGGUGAUAAACCGGAGGAAGGUGGGGACGACGUCAAGUCAUCAUGGCCCUUAUGGGGCAGGGGCUACACACGUGCUACAAUGGCGAAUACAGAGGGGCCGCAAACCUGCAAAGGCCAGCUAAUCCCUUAAAGCUCGUCGUAGUCCGGGAUCGGGAGUCUGCAAC
Molecule: ribosomal RNA, 523 nt
Filed under: uncultured bacterium
Lineage: Bacteria
Description: bacterial SSU rRNA
Rfam family: Bacterial small subunit ribosomal RNA
Source: RNAcentral